RNAcentral lists this ribosomal RNA (465 nucleotides) under Vreelandella stevensii. Its description in RNAcentral is "partial 16S ribosomal RNA". It matches the Rfam family "Bacterial small subunit ribosomal RNA", at positions 338 to 795 of the family's 1533-position model. The record is from RNAcentral. Lineage: Bacteria; Pseudomonadati; Pseudomonadota; Gammaproteobacteria; Oceanospirillales; Halomonadaceae.
CCUACGGGUGGCUGCAGUGGGGAAUAUUGGACAAUGGGGGCAACCCUGAUCCAGCCAUGCCGCGUGUGUGAAGAAGGCCCUCGGGUUGUAAAGCACUUUCAGUGAGGAAGAACGCCUGGUGGUUAAUACCCAUCAGGAAAGACAUCACUCACAGAAGAAGCACCGGCUAACUCCGUGCCAGCAGCCGCGGUAAUACGGAGGGUGCGAGCGUUAAUCGGAAUUACUGGGCGUAAAGCGCGCGUAGGUGGCUUGAUAAGCCGGUUGUGAAAGCCCCGGGCUCAACCUGGGAACGGCAUCCGGAACUAUCAAGCUAGAGUGCAGGAGAGGAAGGUAGAAUUCCCGGUGUAGCGGUGAAAUGCGUAGAGAUCGGGAGGAAUACCAGUGGCGAAGGCGGCCUUCUGGACUGACACUGACACUGAGGUGCGAAAGCGUGGGUAGCAAACAGGAUUAGAUACCCUAGUAGUC